AUAGGGGAGCCGUAGGGAAACCGAGUCUUAACCGGGCGUUAAGUUGCAGGGUAUAGACCCGAAACCCGGUGAUCUAGCCAUGGGCAGGUUGAAGGUUGGGUAACACUAACUGGAGGACCGAACCGACUAAUGUUGAAAAAUUAGCGGAUGACCUGUGGCUGGGGGUGAAAGGCCAAUCAAACCGGGAGAUAGCUGGUUCUCCCCGAAAGCUAUUUAGGUAGCGCCUCGUGAAUUCAUCUCCGGGGGUAGAGCACUGUUUCGGCUAGGGGGCCAUCCCGGCUUACCAACCCGAUGCAAACUGCGAAUACCGGAGAAUGUUAUCACGGGAGACACACGGCGGGUGCUAACGUCCGUCGUGAAGAGGGAAACAACCCAGACCGCCAGCUAAGGUCCCAAAGUCAUGGUUAAGUGGGAAACGAUGUGGGAAGGCCCAGACAGCCAGGAUGUUGGCUUAGAAGCAGCCAUCAUUUAAAGAAAGCGUAAUAGCUCACUGGUCGAGUCGGCCUGCGCGGAAGAUGUAACGGGGCUAAACCAUGCACCGAAGCUGCGGCAGCGA
RNAcentral lists this ribosomal RNA (556 nucleotides) under Salmonella enterica. RNAcentral's name for it is "partial 23S ribosomal RNA". It matches the Rfam family "Bacterial large subunit ribosomal RNA", at positions 657 to 1211 of the family's 2925-position model. Lineage: Bacteria; Pseudomonadati; Pseudomonadota; Gammaproteobacteria; Enterobacterales; Enterobacteriaceae. RNAcentral also lists the same sequence under 7 other names. The record is from RNAcentral.